Molecule: microRNA precursor, 87 nt
Filed under: Capsella rubella
Lineage: Eukaryota; Viridiplantae; Streptophyta; Magnoliopsida; Brassicales; Brassicaceae
Description: mir-166 microRNA precursor family
Rfam family: mir-166 microRNA precursor family
About the family: This family represents the plant microRNA (miRNA) precursor mir-166. Animal miRNAs are transcribed as ~70nt precursors and subsequently processed by the Dicer enzyme to give a ~22nt product. In plants the precursor sequences may be longer, and the carpel factory (caf) enzyme appears to be involved in processing.
Source: Rfam by way of RNAcentral
GUUCAGGUGGAUGAUGCUUGGCUCGAGACCAUUCCAUCUCAGGAUCAUGAUGAUGAUGAUGUCGGACCAGGCUUCAUUCCCCUCAAC